RNAcentral lists this ribosomal RNA (619 nucleotides) under Eulimnogammarus verrucosus. Its description in RNAcentral is "SSU rRNA". It matches the Rfam family "Eukaryotic small subunit ribosomal RNA", at positions 17 to 552 of the family's 1831-position model. Lineage: Eukaryota; Metazoa; Arthropoda; Malacostraca; Amphipoda; Eulimnogammaridae. The record is from RNAcentral.
CCAGUAGUCAUAUGCUUGUCUCAAAGAUUAAGCCAUGCAUGUCUAAGUCCAAGCUGUGUUCACACGGCGAGACCGCGGACGGCUCAUUAAAUCAGUCGUGGUCCAAAUGGGCCAGUGCAAAUCCUACUUGGAUAACUGUGGUAAUUCCAGAGCUAAUACAUGCAACUGAUAUCCCGAAGGCGGUGUUUGGGCUUGCUUGCCUUGCGCUGCGCUGCUCUGACGGAUGCUUUUAUUAGACCAAGCCGCUGAGGACUUGAGGGUUCGCGCUCUCUUGUCUGACUCGUGUGAUGGUGACUCUGGAUAACCAAAUUCUGACAAGCGCACGUACUUCUCUUCUGAGCGAGACGGCGCUGCCACUUUCGAGUGUCUGCCUUAUCAGCUAUCAACCGUUCGUUAUGCGCGACCGAUGGCUUUGACGGGUAACGGGGAAUCAGGGUUCGAUUCCGGAGAGGCAGCCUGAGAGACGGCUACCACGUCCAAGGACGGCAGCAGGCACGCAAAUUACCCAAUCCCAGCAAAUGGGGGAGGUAGUGACGAAAUCUAACGAUGCGGGCGCCCUUUCUGGGGCCCCGCAAUCGGAAUGGGCACUUUCUAAACAACCUGUUGAGAACCUACUGAA